RNAcentral lists this ribosomal RNA (247 nucleotides) under uncultured bacterium. RNAcentral describes it as "partial 16S ribosomal RNA". It matches the Rfam family "Bacterial small subunit ribosomal RNA", at positions 523 to 769 of the family's 1533-position model. The record is from RNAcentral.
AUACGUAGGGGGCAAGCGUUAUCCGGAUUUACUGGGUGUAAAGGGAGUGUAGGUGGCAUGGCAAGUCAGAAGUGAAAGCCCGGGGCUCAACCCCGGGACUGCUUUUGAAACUGCCAGGCUAGAGUGCAGGAGAGGUAAGUGGAAUUCCUAGUGUAGCGGUGAAAUGCGUAGAUAUUAGGAGGAACACCAGUGGCGAAGGCGGCUUACUGGACUGUAACUGACACUGAGGCUCGAAAGCGUGGGGAGC